CACGCCCUAAACCGAAUGCGCGUUAGGUGUAUCGGUGACCACGAGUCACCGAGGUGCCGAAGGGAAACCGUGAAACGUGCCGCCUGGGAAGUACGGUCGCAAGGCUGAAACUUAAAGGAAUUGGCGGGGGAGGCACCACAACGGGUGGAGCCUGCGGUUUAAUUGGACUCAACGCCGGGAAGCUCACCGGAUAAGACAGCGGAAUGAUUGCCGGGCUGAAGACCCUGCAUGACCAGCUGAGAGGAGGUGCAUGGCGUCAGUGACU
Molecule: ribosomal RNA, 265 nt
Filed under: uncultured archaeon
Lineage: Archaea
Description: partial 16S ribosomal RNA
Rfam family: Archaeal small subunit ribosomal RNA
Source: RNAcentral